This 510-nucleotide ribosomal RNA is filed under the name uncultured bacterium. RNAcentral describes it as "bacterial SSU rRNA". It matches the Rfam family "Bacterial small subunit ribosomal RNA", at positions 30 to 526 of the family's 1533-position model. The record is from RNAcentral.
AUUGAACGCUGGCGGCAUGCCUUACACAUGCAAGUCGAACGGCAGCACGGACUUCGGUCUGGUGGCGAGUGGCGAACGGGUGAGUAAUGUAUCGGAACGUACCUUUCAGUGGGGGAUAACGUAGCGAAAGUUACGCUAAUACCGCAUAUUCUGUGAGCAGGAAAGCAGGGGAUCGCAAGACCUUGCGCUGAUUGAGCGGCCGAUGGCAGAUUAGGUAGUUGGUGGGAUAAAAGCUUACCAAGCCGACGAUCUGUAGCUGGUCUGAGAGGACGACCAGCCACACUGGGACUGAGACACGGCCCAGACUCCUACGGGAGGCAGCAGUGGGGAAUUUUGGACAAUGGGGGAAAACCCUGAUCCAGCCAUGCCGCGUGCAGGAUGAAGGCCUCGGUUGUAAACUGCUUUGUACGGUAACGAAAAGGUACUUACUAAUUAAAGAAGGACGUCAUGACGGUACCGUAAGGAAUAAAGACAACCGGCUAACUAACGUAGCCAGCAGCCGCGUAAGAC